UAUCUGUCUCUUGGUAAGAGGAAGGAUUUUUACUCUCAGCAAGCCCAUUACAACAAGAGGGAUAAAAGUUUGUAUCAAGACAACCAGGGGUAAACAUACCGUUUACUAUUAUGACUAUGGGGCCAAGCCUCACUCUUUCAAAGUGGAGAACUAGGUACUGAAGGAAAUGCUAUUAUAAGAAGGCAUACACAUUACAAAUGUUUUGACUCUCCACCGCUUGAGAUCUUUUGUCAAACAAGUCAUUCGGCAAAUAUUUAAAGAAAAGGGAAUUCAGAGAACUUUUUCUGAGUCUUUUGCGUUCCUAGCACUGGAACACUUGGUCUAUGCUGACCUACCCUUAUACUCCAACUCAGAGCUUCAACAUGCGUACUUUGACACAAAGUAUAUGAUACUAAGUGUUACAACUAACAUGGUUCACAUAUCAAAAGCAUGGAUCCUUUCAUGCAUAGCAAAAUAUUCAUAAGCAUCACUCAUAUCAAUCAACAUAAACAUUAUACAUUCCAACACAUUCAUACAUAAACAUCAUACAUUCCAACACAUUCAUACAUAAACAUCAUACAUUCCAACACAUUCAUACAUAAACAUCAUACAUUCCAACACAUCCAUACAUAAGCCAACUAUGCUUCGAAAGGGUUCAACAUACUUUGUGUCUUCGACACUUGCUACAAUGUGCCUCGACACCUUACCCUUAUUCUCACCAACCAGGUGGUGAAAUUUGAAGAAUGAACCUAUCUUCAUGCCACCAACUAGGUGAUGAAAUGUACAACCCGUACUCUCCUUCA
Molecule: long non-coding RNA, 782 nt
Filed under: Malus domestica (apple)
Lineage: Eukaryota; Viridiplantae; Streptophyta; Magnoliopsida; Rosales; Rosaceae
Description: long non-coding RNA (MDOM_LNC012284)
Source: RNAcentral